Molecule: ribosomal RNA, 1028 nt
Filed under: Escherichia coli
Lineage: Bacteria; Pseudomonadati; Pseudomonadota; Gammaproteobacteria; Enterobacterales; Enterobacteriaceae
Description: partial 23S ribosomal RNA
Rfam family: Bacterial large subunit ribosomal RNA
Source: RNAcentral
CAUAGGUUAAUGAGGCGAACCGGGGGAACUGAAACAUCUAAGUACCCCGAGGAAAAGAAAUCAACCGAGAUUCCCCCAGUAGCGGCGAGCGAACGGGGAGGAGCCCAGAGCCUGAAUCAGUGUGUGUGUUAGUGGAAGCGUCUGGAAAGGCGCGCGAUACAGGGUGACAGCCCCGUACACAAAAAUGCACAUGCUGUGAGCUCGAUGAGUAGGGCGGGACACGUGGUAUCCUGUCUGAAUAUGGGGGGACCAUCCUCCAAGGCUAAAUACUCCUGACUGACCGAUAGUGAACCAGUACCGUGAGGGAAAGGCGAAAAGAACCCCGGCGAGGGGAGUGAAAAAGAACCUGAAACCGUGUACGUACAAGCAGUGGGAGCACAGAGCAAUCUGUGUGACUGCGUACCUUUUGUAUAAUGGGUCAGCGACUUAUAUUCUGUAGCAAGGUUAACCGAAUAGGGGAGCCGAAGGGAAACCGAGUCUUAACUGGGCGUUAAGUUGCAGGGUAUAGACCCGAAACCCGGUGAUCUAGCCAUGGGCAGGUUGAAGGUUGGGUAACACUAACUGGAGGACCGAACCGACUAAUGUUGAAAAAUUAGCGGAUGACUUGUGGCUGGGGGUGAAAGGCCAAUCAAACCGGGAGAUAGCUGGUUCUCCCCGAAAGCUAUUUAGGUAGCGCCUCGUGAAUUCAUCUCCGGGGGUAGAGCACUGUUUCGGCAAGGGGGUCAUCCCGACUUACCAACCCGAUGCAAACUGCGAAUACCGGAGAAUGUUAUCACGGGAGACACACGGCGGGUGCUAACGUCCGUCGUGAAGAGGGAAACAACCCAGACCGCCAGCUAAGGUCCCAAAGUCAUGGUUAAGUGGGAAACGAUGUGGGAAGGCCCAGACAGCCAGGAUGUUGGCUUAGAAGCAGCCAUCAUUUAAAGAAAGCGUAAUAGCUCACUGGUCGAGUCGGCCUGCGCGGAAGAUGUAACGGGGCUAAACCAUGCACCGAAGCUGCGGCAGCGACGCUUAUGCGUUGUUGGGUA